Molecule: ribosomal RNA, 243 nt
Filed under: uncultured Actinomycetales bacterium
Lineage: Bacteria; Bacillati; Actinomycetota; Actinomycetes; Actinomycetales
Description: partial 16S ribosomal RNA
Rfam family: Bacterial small subunit ribosomal RNA
Source: RNAcentral
ACUCGAGUGGCGAACGGGUGAGUAACACGUGGGUAAUCUGCCCUGCACUCUGGGAUAAGCCUGGGAAACUGGGUCUAAUACUGGAUAUGACCUUCCUCCUUAUGGGGUUUGGUGGAAAGUUUUUCGGUGUAGGAUGAGCCCGCGGCCUAUCAGCUUGUUGGUGGGGUGAUGGCCUACCAAGGCGACGACGGGUAGCCGGCCUGAGAGGGUGAUCGGCCACAUUGGGACUGAGAUACGGCCCAG